This 819-nucleotide long non-coding RNA is filed under the name Homo sapiens (human). Its description in RNAcentral is "HSALNT0368498". The record is from RNAcentral. Lineage: Eukaryota; Metazoa; Chordata; Mammalia; Primates; Hominidae.
CUGCACUCCAGCCUGGGCAACAAGAGCAAAACUCCAUCUCAAAAACAAAAACAAAAACAAAAAACCUAGAUGUUUAUGGUUAAGGAAACAAAUUAAUAAUAAUAAAAAAGAUAAUAUCGAUUCUUACAAAAUACAGUAAUUAAGAAAAUUAAUCCUUUAUCACAAACUUUUGUAGCAGAGCACAUCUCUCCAUAUAUACAAGCAUUAUACCGAGGGUGAAUGUGUUCCUCCUCUUACUUUUUUUUUUUGAGACAGAGUUUUGCCGGGCACAGUGGCUCACGCCUGUAAUCCCAGCACUUUGGAAGGCUGAGGGGGCGGAUCACGAGGUCAAUAGAUGGAGACCAUCCUGGCCAAUAUGGUGAAACCCCAUCUCUACUAAAAACACAAAAAUUAGCUGGGCGUAGUGGUGCGUGCCUGUAGUCCCAGCUACUUGGGAGGCUGAGUAGCUGGGACUACAGGCACACAUCAUUGUGCCCAGCUACUUUUUGUAUUUUUAGUAGAGACGGGGUUUCACCGUGUUGGCCAGGCUGGUCUCGAACUCCUGACCUCAGGUGAUCCACCUGCCUAGGCCUCCCAAAAUGCUGGGAUUACAGGUGUGGUGAGCCACUGCGCCUAGCCCCUCCUCUUACUUUGGGGAACAUCCUACUCUGUCUAUGGAGCAGCUGUUGUUUCACCACUUUACUUUCUUAAUAAACUUGCUUAUACUUUGCACUGCGACUCGCCCUGAAUCUUUCUUGCAUGAGAUCCAAGAACCCUCUCUUGUGGUCUGGAUUGGGACCCCUUUCCUGUAACAAAUGCAUUGGCUGAUAGGAGAAUAAA